This 26-nucleotide non-coding RNA is filed under the name Mus musculus (house mouse). The record is from RNAcentral. Lineage: Eukaryota; Metazoa; Chordata; Mammalia; Rodentia; Muridae.
UGGGAAUCCAGAAGAGCAUGGUCCUA